This 445-nucleotide ribosomal RNA is filed under the name uncultured bacterium. RNAcentral describes it as "SSU rRNA". It matches the Rfam family "Bacterial small subunit ribosomal RNA", at positions 26 to 518 of the family's 1533-position model. The record is from RNAcentral.
AGAACGAACGCUGGCGGCAGGCUUAACACAUGCAAGUCGAACGAUGUAGCAAUACAUAGUGGCGCACGGGUGAGUAACACGUGGGAACAUGCCUUUCAGUUCAGAAUAACACCGGGAAACUGGUGCUAAUACUGGAUAUUCCCUCCGGGGGAAAGAUUUAUCGCUGAAAGAUUGGCCCGCGUUAGAUUAGGUAGUUGGUGGGGUAAUGGCCUACCAAGCCUACGAUCUAUAGCUGGUCUGAGAGGACGACCAGCCACACUGGAACUGAGACACGGUCCAGACUCCUACGGGAGGCGGCAGUGGGAAUAUUGGACAAUGAGCGCAAGCCUGAUCCAGCAAUGCCGCGUGAGUGAUGAAGGCCUUAGGGUUGUAAAGCUCUUUCGCCCGCGACGAUGAUGACGGUAGCGGGAGAAGAAGCCCCGGCUAACUUCGUGCCAGCAGCCGC